UACGGGGGGGGCAAGCGUUGUUCGGAAUUACUGGGCGUAAAGGGCUCGUAGGCGGCCAACUAAGUCAGACGUGAAAUCCCUCGGCUUAACCGGGGAACUGCGUCUGAUACUGGAUGGCUUGAGUUUGGGAGAGGGAUGCGGAAUUCCAGGUGUAGCGGUGAAAUGCGUAGAUAUCUGGAGGAACACCGGUGGCGAAGGCGGCAUCCUGGACCAACACUGACGCUGAGGAGCGAAAGCGUGGGGAGCGAAACAGG
Molecule: ribosomal RNA, 254 nt
Filed under: uncultured bacterium
Lineage: Bacteria
Description: partial 16S ribosomal RNA
Rfam family: Bacterial small subunit ribosomal RNA
Source: RNAcentral